GCGCCCGUAGCUCAAUGGAUAGAGCACUGGACUUCGGAUCCAGGGGUUGGGGGUUCGACUCCCUCCGGGCGCGCCA
RNAcentral lists this transfer RNA (76 nucleotides) under Nitrospira sp. RNAcentral describes it as "tRNA-Arg". It matches the Rfam family "tRNA". Rfam says of the family: Transfer RNA (tRNA) molecules are approximately 80 nucleotides in length. Their secondary structure includes four short double-helical elements and three loops (D, anti-codon, and T loops). Lineage: Bacteria; Pseudomonadati; Nitrospirota; Nitrospiria; Nitrospirales; Nitrospiraceae. The record is from RNAcentral. RNAcentral also lists the same sequence under 1 other name.